Molecule: long non-coding RNA, 1506 nt
Filed under: Ornithorhynchus anatinus (platypus)
Lineage: Eukaryota; Metazoa; Chordata; Mammalia; Monotremata; Ornithorhynchidae
Description: lncRNA (ENSOANG00000044019.1)
Source: RNAcentral
CCCCCCUGCAAAGAACAAAAUAGACGGCACGACGAGGCGCUCAAUCAGAUUUUAGUGGUUUACUUCAGUUCUGCCGUCUCUCUCUCUUUCUCUCCUUUACUACAAGGGAUAUUAUAAAGAAUAAAUAGCAGAUACUCUUAAUUUACAACGAUUAGUCAUUCCAUUUGUUCUCUAUAUUUACAAUAACUAAAAUAACAUCGAACUCUACGGCUCCUCCGAGCCCAGGAGACCGGUACACUUUCCGAAGAAUGGAAAAUAGCUUCUUCAUCAUCAUCAUCAUCAUCAUCAUCAUCUUCUUCUUUUUAAAGUCCUUCUACAAAGUUUUUUUUUUCCUCUCCUCUUUGUACUUUAAAAAAAAAAUAUUUUUUUUUUUCCUGCUUCGCCGGGCGAAGUGUUCUGGAAUAUAAAUAGCAGGUAACGUUAGGGACGGACAGAAGAACACGCCUUUCUCUCUCCUUCUUUCUUCUUCUUCUUCUUCUUCUUCUUUUUUUUUUCCUCUUUUGUUUUUUUAAAAAUACAGUAGAAGCCGGUAACUUUUUUUAAACGUAUAAUACUGACCUUUUAAUAAGUAAAACUGGGACCAUAUAUAUACACACACACGCACGCACACAUAUACAUUCCUACAGGUACAGUGCAUAACAUGAACCCUAAAGUUAUGUCCUGCGGCGGGGAGAGGGGACGGAGUUGGGCUUUUGGGGGGGUGGGGAGGGGGCGGACUGGGUGGGCGUGGAAGGGGGCGAGGCGCCCUUAGCAGGAGCAUUUGCACUCCGAUAUGAUGGGGUACUGGAUGGGGAUCCAGGCGCAGCGCUGGCCCCCCCGGCGUUGGCAUCGCCACCUGAGCACAGUGAGGUGCACGGACUUGGACGGCUUGCAGACCAUGCCCUCGGGGAAGGAGCACGACCUUCGGCUGAAGCAGCUGCCCACUUUGACGUAGCGGGGCCAGAAGCGGCUGCCCAGGUCGUUCCACGAGUAGAGGACCGGACAGAAGGUCUGCGACCACAGCCACAGCUGCAGUUUCCUCCGCAGCUUCUUGCUCAGCCGGUGUUUCUUGCCGGAGGGCGGCCCGUCGGAGAACUCCAGGCCUUUGAUCUCGCUGGGCAUGACCCCCGACGGCCGCUGGCGCAGCAGCUGGUCCAGCUCGGUCAAGUCCUCUCCACCACCUCCUCCUGCACCUCCUCCUGCGGCCGCCCCUCCUCCCCCGGCCGGCCGGUCCUCCGGGGGCGUCGAGGCCAUGAAGCCCGGGUCGUAGUGAGCGCCCAGCAGCGAGCGCAGCAGCGUCUCGUUGAGGUCCUUCUCCUUGGGGUCAAAGACGGGGUCCGGGUGCUCGAUGAGGUCCACCAGGGGCAGGUUGUCGCUGGGGGCCGGGCGGAUGUGCAGCUCCAUCACCAUGGAAACCACCGACUCUCUCUCUCUCCCCCCUCCUCGCUCCCCCCUCCCCCUUCUCCCCCCCCCCACCAAACACCACCACCCCUCCCUCUCCCCCUCCCCCCCACCCACCCACCCUGA